RNAcentral lists this ribosomal RNA (453 nucleotides) under Triticum aestivum (bread wheat). RNAcentral describes it as "partial small subunit ribosomal RNA". The record is from RNAcentral. Lineage: Eukaryota; Viridiplantae; Streptophyta; Magnoliopsida; Poales; Poaceae.
AUGUCGUUGGAGCCACCGCCUGCGGAGUCCUCCAUGUCCGUGGAGUCCACCAGGCCAUCGGCCUCACCGUCGAAGGAAUCGGAGCCCGCCAUCAUUAGGGUUGCAGCCGUCAUCGCCACCACGCAAGUUGCCGCCCACAAGAAUAAGGAUCUGUGGGUCGGCAACCUGCCUGCGUAUGCGGGCAAGGACGACGCCGUGGCAUCCUUUGCUCUGCACAAGGCACUCGACUGUGUCAUCAUGUGCGUCGGGUACCGCAGCUAUGCCUUCAUCAUUUUCCGCUCCAUUGCCGAGUGUCACACCACCCUCGAGGUGCUCCACGGGUCCAAGGUCAAGGGCGCCUUCAUCCUGAUUGAGUUCGCCCGACCGGUGUGCUACGAUGGUUGCGAUGACACGAUUCUAACGCCCGUGGGGUGCUCUAAUGGCUGCAGCGAUGGUGCGAUGACACGCUUCUAA